GCUGUGAGAGAUGUAUAUUCUAUUUCAGCCCUUCCAGCCGUCUCUCUUCUUCCCACCCUCUAGGUUUUUUUUUUUCUUUUCUAUGAAAACUGAUCUGCAUGGUUAUUAAUAGUAAAACCUAGGAAAAUUUUCAGCUUUGGUCCCUGAAGUUUGGAGAAGCAUUUAAAAUGACCCCAAUACUUAAAAUGGCCCACAAGCGCCCAAUUCACUGUAAUUGGCCGCCAAAUAAAUGGAUUUUGUGUCAUUUGCAGCGAAGUCCCUCAAUAAUUGCAUCUCAAAUCCUCCACUUUUUGACUUGUAUGCCUUGGCCUCCAACUUCCAUCAAUGGCCAAUUUAAUCCCCGUGUUUUGAAUUUUGUUACUUUUCGCCAAUUUUUGCUUCUUUCCUUUCCUUCUUCGUCCAAGCACAAAUUUUACCUAAGAAAAUUAAUACAAUAAAAUUUAGAUUAUAUUUUGCCAAAAGAACAAUAAAAUUAUAUAGUUUAGAGUCCCGAAUAAGUGUAGAAAAUACACUUAUCAG
Molecule: long non-coding RNA, 519 nt
Filed under: Olea europaea (common olive)
Lineage: Eukaryota; Viridiplantae; Streptophyta; Magnoliopsida; Lamiales; Oleaceae
Description: long non-coding RNA (OEUR_LNC002605)
Source: RNAcentral